UUGAUCAUGGCUCAGGAUGAACGCUAGCGACAGGCUUAACACAUGCAAGUCGAGGGGCAGCGGGGGCGUAGCAAUAUGCCUGCCGGCGACCGGCGCACGGGUGAGUAACACGUAUGUAACCUGCCCUAUGCAGGGGGAUAACCCGGAGAAAUCCGGCCUAAUACCGCGUAACACCUUUUGGGAGCAUUUCUGGGAGGUUAAAGGAGAGAUCCGGCAUAGGAUGGACAUGCGUCGCAUUAGGUAGACGGCGGGGUAACGGCCCACCGUGCCGACGAUGCGUAGGGGUUCUGAGAGGAAGGCCCCCCACACUGGUACUGAGACACGGACCAGACUCCUACGGGAGGCAGCAGUGAGGAAUAUUGGUCAAUGGCCGAGAGGCUGAACCAGCCAAGUCGCGUGAGGGAAGAAUGUCCUAAGGAUUGUAAACCUCUUUUGUCGGGGAGCAAAAAGGCUCUGCGGAGUCGUAUUGAGAGUACCCGAAGAAAAAGCAUCGGCUAACUCCGUGCCAGCAGCCGCGGUAAUACGGAGGAUGCGAGCGUUAUCCGGAUUUAUUGGGUUUAAAGGGUGCGCAGGCGGCGUGUCAAGCAANGCGGUAAAAAUAGCGGGGCUCAACCCCCGUCGAGCCGUUUGAACUGGCGCGCUUGAGUUCAGGCGAGGUAGGCGGAAUUCGUGGUGUAGCGGUGAAAUGCAUAGAUAUCACGAAGAACUCCGAUUGCGAAGGCAGCUUACCAGUCUGCGACUGACGCUCAGGCACGAAAGUGUGGGUAUCGAACAGGAUUAGAUACCCUGGUAGUCCACACAGUAAACGAUGAGCGCUAGGUGUCCGGGUCGCAUGAGACUUGGGAGCCCGAGCGAAAGCGUUAAGCGCUCCACCUGGGGAGUACGCCGGCAACGGUGAAACUCAAAGGAAUUGACGGGGGCCCGCACAAGCGGAGGAACAUGUGGUUUAAUUCGAUGAUACGCGAGGAACCUUACCCGGGCUCAAACGACUCAGGAAUAUAUUGGAAACGAUGUAGCCAGCAAUGGUCUGAGUCGAGGUGCUGCAUGGUUGUCGUCAGCUCGUGCCGUGAGGUGUCGGCUUAAGUGCCAUAACGAGCGCAACCCCUACCGCCAGUUGCCAACGGGUAAAGCCGGGAACUCUGGCGGGACUGCCGGCGCAAGCUGCGAGGAAGGCGGGGAUGACGUCAAAUCAGCACGGCCCUUACGUCCGGGGCGACACACGUGUUACAAUGGCAGGUACAGCGGGAAGCCACCUGGUGACAGGGAGCGGAACCCGAAAGCCUGUCUCAGUUCGGAUUGGAGUCUGCAACUCGACUCCAUGAAGCUGGAUUCGCUAGUAAUCGCGCAUCAGCCAUGGCGCGGUGAAUACGUUCCCGGGCCUUGUACACACCGCCCGUCAAGCCAUGGGAGCCGGGGGUGCCUGAAGUACGUGACCGCGAGGAGCGUCNUAGGGCAAAACUGGUGACUGGGGCUAAGUCGUAANCAAGGUA
This 1490-nucleotide ribosomal RNA is filed under the name uncultured bacterium. RNAcentral's name for it is "partial 16S ribosomal RNA". It matches the Rfam family "Bacterial small subunit ribosomal RNA". The record is from RNAcentral.